GCAGUCGAACGGUGAACACGGAGCUUGCUCUGUGGGAUCAGUGGCGAACGGGUGAGUAACACGUGAGCAACCUGCCCCUGACUCUGGGAUAAGCGCUGGAAACGGCGUCUAAUACUGGAUAUGUGACGUGACCGCAUGGUCUGCGUUUGGAAAGAUUUUUCGGUUGGGGAUGGGCUCGCGGCCUAUCAGCUUGUUGGUGAGGUAAUGGCUCACCAAGGCGUCGACGGGUAGCCGGCCUGAGAGGGUGACCGGCCACACUGGGACUGAGACACGGCCCAGACUCCUACGGGAGGCAGCAGUGGGGAAUAUUGCACAAUGGGCGCAAGCCUGAUGCAGCAACGCCGCGUGAGGGAUGACGGCCUUCGGGUUGUAAACCUCUUUUAGCAGGGAAGAAGCGAAAGUGACGGUACCUGCAGAAAAAGCGCCGGCUAACUACGUGCCAGCAGCCGCGGUAAUACGUAGGGCGCAAGCGUUAUCCGGAAUUAUUGGGCGUAAAGAGCUCGUAGGCGGUUUGUCGCGUCUGCUGUGAAAUCCCGAGGCUCAACCUCGGGCCUGCAGUGGGUACGGGCAGACUAGAGUGCGGUAGGGGAGAUUGGAAUUCCUGGUGUAGCGGUGGAAUGCGCAGAUAUCAGGAGGAACACCGAUGGCGAAGGCAGAUCUCUGGGCCGUAACUGACGCUGAGGAGCGAAAGGGUGGGGAGCAAACAG
Molecule: ribosomal RNA, 707 nt
Filed under: Microbacterium sp.
Lineage: Bacteria; Bacillati; Actinomycetota; Actinomycetes; Micrococcales; Microbacteriaceae
Description: bacterial SSU rRNA
Rfam family: Bacterial small subunit ribosomal RNA
Source: RNAcentral